AGUGAACGCUGGCGGUAGGCCUAACACAUGCAAGUCGAACGGCAGCACAGUAAGAGCUUGCUCUUACGGGUGGCGAGUGGCGGACGGGUGAGGAAUACAUCGGAAUCUACUUUUUCGUGGGGGAUAACGUAGGGAAACUUACGCUAAUACCGCAUACGACCUACGGGUGAAAGCAGGGGAUCUUCGGACCUUGCGCGAUUGAAUGAGCCGAUGUCGGAUUAGCUAGUUGGCGGGGUAAAGGCCCGCCAAGGCGACGAUCCGUAGCUGGUCUGAGAGGAUGAUCAGCCACACUGGAACUGAGACACGGUCCAGACUCCUAAGGGAGGCAGCAGUGGGGAAUAUUGGACAAUGGGCGCAAGCCUGAUCCAGCCAUACCGCGUGGGUGAAGAAGGCCUUCGGGUUGUAAAGCCCUUUUGUUGGGAAAGAAAAGCAGCAGGUUAAUACCCCGCUGUUCUGACGGUACCCAAAGAAUAAGCACCGGCUAACUUCGUG
This 492-nucleotide ribosomal RNA is filed under the name uncultured bacterium. RNAcentral's name for it is "partial 16S ribosomal RNA". It matches the Rfam family "Bacterial small subunit ribosomal RNA", at positions 29 to 507 of the family's 1533-position model. The record is from RNAcentral.